GACGACAGCCGCACCCCCACCUCCCGCCACCUUUGUUUUCCUCACGCGCGCAUACGCUCACAGCCGAGAAGGCAAGCAUGCUGACUAUCUACCUACUCAUUGUGAGCGAUACUGAGCAGUCCUACGUGUGACGGGUUGUGUUGUAGCAUGAGCCAUCCACAUAGAGGCAUCCUCGGACUAACUGUAUGCGCACAGUCAUUUGUCUGUGGAUCCAUAAAUACUAUAUCGUAUCCACGGAGAAGAACGACAGAAGAAAACACUGCAGCGUGACCUGUGCAAAAAGAUAGUAUGCUAAUGCACAGUGACACUGCUUUGGAAAUAUUAAUCUCGUGGAGAUAAACCCCAAAAAUGCAGGCGAUUAUCGCUGUCACAAAAGGCCAUUGUGACAGGUGUUGUGUUAUGUCACAAAGCCAAACUUUAUUUUCCCCAGCCAUCAUUUCAUCCAAACAAUGUGGGUAUUCUCAAAUUAAUUGGAAAAAUAUAACUCUUGAUAUCCUCUUGUUGGCAUUUGAAUCAGCUCAUGUCUAAAUCAGCAAUCCCCAACCUCUUCUAAGGCACUGCACUAUUUUAGUGUUCUUGCAUCCCCAAAAGUAAUAUCUUAUUUGAAGAUAAAUGCAAUGUUAUACUAGAUUUUAGAAGAAAACAACAUUUUUGAAUGUACUGUAUUUUCACAUUAAAUUAAAAAUGUCUCCCAAAAUAUUUGAAACACAUCUUCUAAAACUAUAACCAAGUGCCAGUAAUAUAUUAUCUAUUCGACAAAUUUGUUGCUUUAAGUUACACAAUAAGAUGCAUAUUUGCUAAGUAUGAGUACACUUCCACUUGCUUUAGAAGGGGAGUCACCACUAAACAUUUUAAAAAAUGUGUACUUUAUAUGGUUAGGUUUAUGAUUAUCAAUGAUGACACAUGAUGGUGUUGGCAUCAAUGGUGACUCUCUGAUCUUCUCUGAUCAGUUCCUAAACCCUAGCACUAUUCCCAGGAUUAACUGCUGGAAAUGGUCUGCCGAUCCUUGGCUAGUCACAGAGGUCACUCAAAGCAGGCUCUUGUUCUUAAGCUUUGAUCCUGGACACCCACUUUUUGACUAUGCUGUUGCCUAUUGCAGCUUCCCCAUAUAUUGUAACCUUUUGAAAAUGUUUAGUGGUGGUUCCCCUUUCAAAGCAAGAAAUUCAGUCACAACUCUCUGCCUCUGACGGGCAUCCAGCAAUGACCUCAUUUCCAAAAUGGCUGACAGUAAGAGGACAGGCUGAAACAAAACUUUAAAAAAAGCGUUAAACAAGUAUUUAAACUACAAACUGUAAACAUUUCAGAAAAUAAAAUUCAAUUAUUAGUAGGUUAAAUUUUAUUGGGCUCAUUACCUUUUGACUGCCCCUCGUACAUCUGAGCCGUAGUACUUGCCCAGUGAUUCUUUCACGUACCACUAGAGAAAGUAUGUGUACCACUAGUGGCACCACAUAAGAAUCACUGCUAUACAUAACAUAUGGGGGGUAAAAAGAAAAAAAUAAAGGGGUAAAAAGGCAAUUGUUUUUGAAAAACUAAAUAACAUUGACAAUUCAUCCAUCCAUCCAUCCAUCCAUUUUCUGAGCCGCUUAUACGCACAAGGGUCGCGGGAGUGCUGGAGCCUAUCCCAGCUACAUUGACAAUUGUGAUGCUCUAAACACAACUUUUGAAUAGUAAACUUCCUUUUAUUCAUUAAUUUAUUUUCCGUACCGCUUAUCCUCACUAGGGUCGCGGGCAUGCUGGAGCCUAUCCCAGCUAACUGUGGGCGAGACGUGGGGUACACCUUGAACUGGUCGCCAGCCAAUCGCAGGGCACAUCUAAAAAAACAACCAUUUGCGGGCACGGGCAAUUUAGAGUCUUCAAUUAACCUUCCAUGCAUGUUUUUGGGAUGUGGGAGGAAACCGGAGUACCCGGAGAAAACCCACGCAGGUACGGGGAGAACAUACAAACUCCACACAGGCGAGGCCGGAUUUGAACCCGGGUUCUAAGAACUGUGAGGCAGAUGUGCUGAACAGUCGUCCACUGUGCCGCCUAAACUGGCUUUUAUUCCUUGAAUAAUUGUAUACACGUGACAAUGGAAUAGUGUAAAAGAUAAAAAAUAAAACAUACAAAAAUGUUCAAAUGAAACGAAAAAAGACAAACAGUACUUGUGUAACAGCUGGAUUAUAGCUCGAUUGAUCAUGCCUGAAACCCACUUUGCAAUUAACCCACACCUAAUUCGGUAAGGGAAUCAAAAUGCUGGGCACAACAUAACAUGGGUUGAACAUUUUCAUUAGGCGAACAAACCACACAUCUUCGACCACAAAAAAUAGUAGCAAAUCUUUAAUAAUGCCGUUUAUCCUAAGUGCCACGAUAGGUGAGUUCAAAAGCAUUCUCAAUUGACACUUGUUGUUUCGCUUAGGUUACCUUUUGGUGUCGCUCAACUGUUGUGUGUCAAGCAAGCGUUAUAUAAGUAUGCAAACAGAACCUUGGUCAUAUUGCUUGUGUUUCCUUAAAAAGUAUGGGAUGUAUUAUAAGGCAAGCAAUGUUUCACACGGUAAAAUGUUUGUAAACACUUUUCAACAGUUUCUCUCCCUCUUCGUUAUAUUUAUAAUCAAAAGUGAAAUUAAUCCGCACCAGAGAUUUGAAUGAAGCCAGUGCUUCUUCAAAAUUUGGUCUCAAAUCCACCACUUGUGCUAAUAGUGGUUUUACAUUAUACUGCACUUUGAAGCUGGAUACAGUUACGACUGUGUGUGGGUGAAUGCGCAACAGGCUCGCGCGCACACACACACACAUCAAUGAACAAUGAAUUGCCAAACCCCAAAAAAACUGUCCAUAAGGGCGUAUUGUCCCGUGCAGAGCAUACCGAACGGUCCUCGGUACUGUCCCCAGUAUCAAUUGUUUCUAGUACUUGCAAUGUGAUAGUGGUGGUAUUAUGAGAUGGAUUAAGUCCCCACUGAGGGGCCAGGUAACAAACGUGCGGCCUGCCACUGAAUAUAUUUAUUCCACGGCUUAUGUUAUGAAAAUAUCAUAACUUUUGAAUUGGAUAUCAUCAAACUGUGCCCAGCCAUCAUUUCCCACUUGACAGCUCUUCAAAAUCCAUAGUUGUAACCAAAAGCAUUCAUUAUGUAACCGGUGGCAUCUCGGUGAGUGACUCGCACUUUCCACGAAUAACCGUGUCACUUCAACAUGUUUGCACGCAUUUUGUAUGUGUGUGUGCCUCACAUUAGCAAAUGCCGGCGACCUUGCGACGAAGGCUGUGUUUUGGAUGAUGGAGUGGACCGAGGUUGCCACAGCAGGGGCUGACGGACCCCUAUGGAGUGACUACAAACUGCCUCGUACGUGUCCCAAAACACAGCAGGGGGUGAGCUGGGGUGGGCGCGGGUGGUCAGUAACCUGAGCACGGCUCAGCCGUUGUUAUAGCAGCCUGUGUUUGUGUUACAUAACGCUGGCUUUAGCAAUAAUAGUCCAGUAGUAUGUACUACCAGGGGGAAAUCUAACGGCGUCAACAGAAAGAGGAGGAGGGUGUUGAGGUGAUGGGAGAUGAGGAGGUCGGACCUACAGAUGGUGCUAAGUAGGAAGAACAGCUGGCAUGUAGACGCUAAAGUUUGGAUGGAGGCUGUUUUUAAUUUUUUUUUUUAAUGAAAUAAUGUUUCAUUUAAACUCUUUGCUAUGUCAGAUUAUUGACAUCUCAUAAUGUGCUCUAGGAAAGAGAUAUAGUAGAUAUUAUGGAUGGGCAUCAUAUUUGAUUUGCAAUCAAUCAUUAAGAAUUAUGAUAAUUGCGCGGUAUUGUUUUCUGAUUAUCAAUUACAAAGUUAACUAAUUAUAAUAAUGGUGGGGGACAGUCCCUCACCAGUUGGUGCUGUAUAUAAACAUGUAUACUUUGUAUUUUAUAUUUAAUAGAGAAUAGUUGUUCAAUAGUUGUUCAAUUGUGAAAUUGUGUAUAGGGUUUGAAGUAGUAUGUGAGUGUCUGGCACCUUUUGCAUUCUGUUAUCUGUCUGUCUUUGUUUUUAGUACAGAUUUCUUAUUUACGACAGAAGAGUUAUUCAAUUUCGAAAUCAAUGUAUGAAAUGAAAAGCUGUUUUUGGACAAAUUCCCUUAGUGUCUGUGUGACUUCCUGUUAGCGGUUCUGUGGCAAUGUUUUUAUUGCUUGGACUACCAAGUUUAUAUUUAAUACAGAGCAGUGUUUCAGUUGUGAAGAGAAUGUGCUGCAUAUAAACUGUAUCGUAGUACUUAUAGUGUUUUGGGAGAAAUUCCAGUUACAGUAAGAGCAAGGUGUCAGCGUCGCUGUUUUUCUUCGUUUCUGAUUUUAUACUGUAUUCAAUACAGAAUCGUGAUUAAAUUGUGAAACGAAUGUGUUCAAUUGUCUCCUCAUACUUAUAGUGUUAUUUUCGGGAGAAAUUAUAGCCGCAGUAUAAGAGCAAGAGGCCUGCGUCCCUGCUGUUCCUUUUUUCUGAUAUCAUAUUGAAUAACGAUGGAUUAAAAUGAUAUGAAAUGA
This is a long non-coding RNA of Phyllopteryx taeniolatus (common seadragon), 4471 nucleotides long. RefSeq lists it as uncharacterized. The record is from RefSeq and is a predicted model, not a curated record. NCBI's taxonomy places the organism in Eukaryota, Metazoa, Chordata, Actinopteri, Syngnathiformes, Syngnathidae. The transcript is spliced from 3 exons.